Molecule: ribosomal RNA, 232 nt
Filed under: uncultured bacterium
Lineage: Bacteria
Description: partial 16S ribosomal RNA
Rfam family: Bacterial small subunit ribosomal RNA
Source: RNAcentral
CGUUGCUCGGGAAUUAUUGGGCGUAAAGCGCGUGUAGGCGGUUGUUUAAGUCUGAUGUGAAAGCCCUGGGCUCAACCUGGGAAGUGCAUUGGAAACUGGACAACUUGAGUACGGGAGAGGGUAGUGGAAUUCCGAGUGUAGGGGUGAAAUCCGUAGAUAUUCGGAGGAACACCGGUGGCGAAGGCGGCUACCUGGACCGAUACUGACGCUGAGACGCGAAAGCGUGGGGAGC